UUCACAAGAACCCAACACAGCGUCCCCCAAUCACUAGUACUCUAGUACGGGAGCGCUUAACUUAUAUAUUCUUGACAGGACGACGAGCUUAGUCGAUUUAGCCAUGUCCGCCUAUCUGUCCGUCCGUGUAUAUCACGCGCAUAUCAAGUUUUUCUCUCAAAAUCGAUAACUACUUCGUUUAUAUUAUAACAGCUAUACAUAAGUGUCGUAAUAUGAGCGGUCACUUAUGUAUAAACCGGCCUGCAGCGUGGGAUCUGCAGCGUAAGCAUUAUUACGUUCUUGCCCACGACGUAGUUUAAACACUUGAAUGCAUGUAUAUGCCUUCUGCAUGUACAUACAAACAUAUAAAUGCAUACGUACGGCAUGCUAUAAACUCCCGUUCUGCAGCUGCUUUUAGCGAAAGAACUCUUUAUGUAAACUUUAUGUAUUUAGGCUAAGACGAAACCUUUUUGAAUUGAAUAAAACAUCCAUAUUUGACCACUUGAAA
Long non-coding RNA from Drosophila mojavensis, 487 nucleotides. RefSeq lists it as uncharacterized. The transcript has 2 exons. NCBI's taxonomy places the organism in Eukaryota, Metazoa, Arthropoda, Insecta, Diptera, Drosophilidae. The record is from RefSeq and is a predicted model, not a curated record.